RNAcentral lists this ribosomal RNA (491 nucleotides) under uncultured bacterium. Its description in RNAcentral is "partial 16S ribosomal RNA". It matches the Rfam family "Bacterial small subunit ribosomal RNA", at positions 29 to 506 of the family's 1533-position model. The record is from RNAcentral.
AGUGAACGCUGGCGGUAGGCCUAACACAUGCAAGUCGAACGGCAGCACAGUAAGAGCUUGCUCUUACGGGUGGCGAGUGGCGGACGGGUGAGGAAUACAUCGGAAUCUACUUUUUCGUGGGGGAUAACGUAGGGAAACUUACGCUAAUACCGCAUACGACCUACGGGUGAAAGCAGGGGAUCUUCGGACCUUGCGCGAUUGAAUGAGCCGAUGUCGGAUUAGCUAGUUGGCGGGGUAAAGGCCCACCAAGGCGACGAUCCGUAGCUGGUCUGAGAGGAUGAUCGGCCCAACUGGACCUGAGACACGUCCCAGACCCUUAGGGGAGGCGGCAUUGGGAAAUAUUGGACAAUGGGGGCAACCCUGAUCCAGCCAUCCCGGUUGGUUGAAGAAGGCUUCCGGUUUGUAAAGCCCUUUUGUUGGGAAAAAAAAGCAGCAGGUAAAUCCCCGGCUGUUCGGCCGUUACCCAAAGAAAAAGAACCGCCUACCUUCGU